UACGGAGGGGGUUAGCGUUGUUCGGAAUUACUGGGCGUAAAGCGCACGUAGGCGGAUUAGAAAGUUGGGGGUGAAAUCCCGGGGCUCAACCUCGGAACUGCCUCCAAAACUCCUAGUCUAGAGUUCGAGGGAGGUGAGUGGAAUUCCAAGUGUAGAGGUGAAAUUCGUAGAUAUUUGGAGGAACACCAGUGGCGAAGGCGGCUCACUGGCUCGGUACUGACGCUGAGGUGCGAAAGUGUGGGGAGCAAACAGC
This 253-nucleotide ribosomal RNA is filed under the name uncultured bacterium. RNAcentral's name for it is "partial 16S ribosomal RNA". It matches the Rfam family "Bacterial small subunit ribosomal RNA", at positions 524 to 776 of the family's 1533-position model. The record is from RNAcentral.